GAUGAACGCUGGCGGCGUGCCUAAUACAUGCAAGUCGAGCGAACAGACGAGGAGCUUGCUCCUCUGACGUUAGCGGCGGACGGGUGAGUAACACGUGGAUAACCUACCUAUAAGACUGGGAUAACUUCGGGAAACCGGAGCUAAUACCGGAUAAUAUAUUGAACCGCAUGGUUCAAUAGUGAAAGACGGUUUUGCUGUCACUUAUAGAUGGAUCCGCGCCGCAUUAGAUAGUUGGUAAGGUAACGGCUUACCAAGGCAACGAUGCGUAGCCGACCUGAGAGAGUGAUCGGCCACACUGGAACUGAGACACGGUCCAGACUCCUACGGGAGGCAGCAGUAGGGAAUCUUCCGCAAUGGGCGAAAGCCUGACGGAGCAACGCCGCGUGAGUGAUGAAGGUCUUCGGAUCGUAAAACUCUGUUAUUAGGGAAGAACAAAUGUGUAAGUAACUAUGCACGUCUUGACGGUACCUAAUCAGAAAGCCACGGCUAACUACGUG
This 497-nucleotide ribosomal RNA is filed under the name uncultured bacterium. Its description in RNAcentral is "partial 16S ribosomal RNA". It matches the Rfam family "Bacterial small subunit ribosomal RNA", at positions 28 to 507 of the family's 1533-position model. The record is from RNAcentral.